UAGAAAUCAAUGGUUAGCAGGCCCAUGAAUAAUCUUUGGGGCAUAAUGAAGACUCUGAUGGAAAAGAGGUUGUCAAGAAAGUUCUAGAGGAGGACUUUGGCCACAGCGAUCUUGGGGAACAAAUGUGCUUCGGGUGUGAGGAGAGACUUGCUUAAUCAGAAGACUUUCCAGCUUCACUGCUCUGCAAGAAUGUGGACAGGACGGAGGCCCACCUUCCAGAAGAAAACAGUAAGAUCCGAGGUUUACGUUUAUCCCUCAUGCUUGAACUUUGUCUCCGACAUGCAGCAGUAGCCAAAGACAAGACCUCAGAGCAAAUGCACUGGAAACCCCGUCCCCAGGAUAAUCCCCUUUGAGGACUCGGCUCACAAAUCC
This 372-nucleotide long non-coding RNA is filed under the name Homo sapiens (human). RNAcentral's name for it is "HSALNT0039681". Lineage: Eukaryota; Metazoa; Chordata; Mammalia; Primates; Hominidae. The record is from RNAcentral.